This 460-nucleotide ribosomal RNA is filed under the name uncultured bacterium. RNAcentral describes it as "partial 16S ribosomal RNA". It matches the Rfam family "Bacterial small subunit ribosomal RNA", at positions 338 to 795 of the family's 1533-position model. The record is from RNAcentral.
CCUACGAGAGGCAGCAGUGAGGAAUAUUGGUCAAUGGGCGGAAGCCUGAACCAGCCAAGUAGCGUGCAGGAUGACGGCCCUACGGGGUGUAAACUGCUUUUAUACGGGAAUAACGCGCCUUACGUGUAGGGCUUUGCAUGUACCGUAUGAAUAAGGACCGGCUAAUGCCGUGCCAGCAGCCGCGGUAAAACGGAAGGUCCGGGCGUUAUACGGAUUUAUUGGGGUUAAAGGGAGCGUAGGCCGCAUGUCAAGCGUGCUGUGAAAUGUCCGGGCUCAACCCGGGCCUUGCAGCGCGAACUGGCGUGCUUGAGUCCGCGGAAGGCAGGCGGAAUUCGUCGUGUAGCGGUGAAAUGCUUAGAUAUGACGAAGAACCCCGAUUGCGAAGGCAGCUUGCUGCAGCGGAACUGACGCUGAUGCUCGAAAGCGCGGGUAUCGAACAGGAUUAGAUACCCCUGUAGUC